This 265-nucleotide ribosomal RNA is filed under the name uncultured bacterium. RNAcentral's name for it is "partial 16S ribosomal RNA". It matches the Rfam family "Bacterial small subunit ribosomal RNA", at positions 8 to 266 of the family's 1533-position model. The record is from RNAcentral.
AAAGUUUGAUCCUGGCUCAGGACGAACGCUGGCGGCGUGCCUAACACAUGCAAGUCGAGCGGAGACAGUGAGUAGCUUGCUAUGAGCUGUUUUAGCGGCGGACGGGUGAGUAACGCGUGAGCAACCUUUCCCAGACAGGGGAAUAACACACCGAAAGGUGUACUAAUACCGCAUAAGACCACGGGAUCACAUGGUUCUGGGGUAAAAGAUUUAUCGGUUUGGGGUGGGCUCGCGUCCGAUUAGGUAGUUGGUGAGGUAACGGCCC